GUCGAACGGUAACAGGAAGCAGCUUGCUGCUUCGCUGACGAGUGGCGGACGGCUUUGUAAUGUCUGGGGAUCUGCCUGAUGGAGGGGGAUAACUACUGUAAACGGUAGCUAAUACCGCAUAACGUCGCAAGACCAAAGAGGGGGACCUUCGGGCCUCUUGCCAUCAGAUGAACCCAGAUGGGAUUAGCUAGUAGGUGGGGUAACGGCUCACCUAGGCGACGAUCCCUAGCUGGUCUGAGAGGAUGACCAGCCACACUGGAACUGAGACACGGUCCAGACUCCUACGGGAGGCAGCAGUGGGGAAUAUUGCACAAUGGGCGCAAGCCUGAUGCAGCCAUGCCGCGUGUAUGAAGAAGGCCUUCGGGUUGUAAAGUACUUUCAGCGGGGAGGAAGGGGAAGCGGUUAAAUGCCGCUUUCUUUGACUGUACUGCGAGAAGAAGCAUCGGCUAACUGCGUGCCAGCAGCCGCGGUAAUACAGAGGGUGCGAGCGUUAAUCGGAUUUACUGGGCGUAAAGCGCGCGCAGGCGGUCUGUCAAGUCCGAUGUGAAAUCCGCGGGCUCAACCAGCGAACUGCAUCCGAAACUGGUGGGCUUGAAUCUUGUAGAGGGGGGGAGAAUUCCAGGAGUAGCGGUGAGAUGCGUAGAUAUCUGGAAGAAUACCGGGGGCGGAAGCGUGCCACUGGACCAAGAAUGACGACUCAGGGAGAAAAGGGGGGGGAGCAAAGAGGAAUUAAUUCCCCUGGUAAUCCCAGCCCCAAAACGAUGUCUACCCUGGAUGUUGGGCACUAGAAAGCGGGCCUUCCGGAGCAUACAC
This 813-nucleotide ribosomal RNA is filed under the name uncultured bacterium. RNAcentral's name for it is "bacterial SSU rRNA". It matches the Rfam family "Bacterial small subunit ribosomal RNA", at positions 61 to 858 of the family's 1533-position model. The record is from RNAcentral.